This 498-nucleotide ribosomal RNA is filed under the name uncultured bacterium. RNAcentral's name for it is "partial 16S ribosomal RNA". It matches the Rfam family "Bacterial small subunit ribosomal RNA", at positions 27 to 507 of the family's 1533-position model. The record is from RNAcentral.
GGAUGAACGCUGGCGGCGUGCCUAAUACAUGCAAGUCGAGCGAACAGAUGAGGAGCUUGCUCCUCUGACGUUCGCGGCGGACGGGUGAGUAACACGUGGAUAACCUACCUAUAAGACUGGGAUAACUUCGGGAAACCGGAGCUAAUACCGGAUAAUAUAUUGAACCGCAUGGUUCAAUAGUGAAAGACGGUUUUGCUGUCACUUAUAAAUGGAUCCGCGCCGCAUUAGCUAGUUGGUAAGGUAACGGCUUACCAAGGCAACGAUGCGUAGCCGACCUGAGAGGGUGAUCGGCCACACUGGAACUGAGACACGGUCCAGACUCCUACGGGAGGCAGCAGUAGGGAAUCUUCCGCAAUGGGCGAAAGCCUGACGGAGCAACGCCGCGUGAGUGAUGAAGGUCUUCGGAUCGUAAAACUCUGUUAUUAGGGAAGAACAAAUGUGUAAGUAACUAUGCACGUCUUGACGGUACCUAAUCAGAAAGCCACGGCUAACUACGUG